CAUCCAAGUCGCAAUCUGUAGAAGUAAACCAUUAUAGGUCAAAGUACGGUUUUCAACACCUUGACUCACUGACAGCAAACUUUUUUAAGGGCCCCCAAAAAGUCCAGUGUAAAACCAUUCAAACAUGCAUGUAAUCCAGUGAAGACAACUUAUAAAUAGGUGUCAUUAAUUAUGUUGAAUGUCAAUGUGUGCAAAUAUUUUUUAAAGCUACAAGCUAAACAUGGUUUGCUUUUUUUCAGUGCCUUGACUUUGUACUUUUUAGUUGAAACCCCCAC
RNAcentral lists this long non-coding RNA (275 nucleotides) under Mytilus galloprovincialis (Mediterranean mussel). The record is from RNAcentral. Lineage: Eukaryota; Metazoa; Mollusca; Bivalvia; Mytilida; Mytilidae.